GGAAGCGUGCCCGAAACACCAGGGACUACUUUGAUAAAGUAGACAUGGAGUUAAAUACUCCCACUCCCC
This 69-nucleotide transfer RNA is filed under the name Amphibolurus norrisi. Its description in RNAcentral is "tRNA-Ile". The record is from RNAcentral. Lineage: Eukaryota; Metazoa; Chordata; Lepidosauria; Squamata; Agamidae.